RNAcentral lists this microRNA precursor (71 nucleotides) under Nestor notabilis (Kea). RNAcentral describes it as "mir-1729 microRNA precursor family". It matches the Rfam family "mir-1729 microRNA precursor family". The record is from Rfam by way of RNAcentral. Lineage: Eukaryota; Metazoa; Chordata; Aves; Psittaciformes; Psittacidae.
CCUGCAUCCCUUACUCAUGUGAGCAGUCGUCUCUGUUUCAAAGGGACUACUCGGUGAGUAAGGAUGGCAGG